Molecule: ribosomal RNA, 430 nt
Filed under: uncultured bacterium
Lineage: Bacteria
Description: bacterial SSU rRNA
Rfam family: Bacterial small subunit ribosomal RNA
Source: RNAcentral
UGGGGAAUCUUGCGCAAUGGGCGAAAGCCUGACGCAGCAACGCCGUGUGAGCGAUGAAGGCCCUCGGGUCGUAAAGCUCUGUCGGAAGGAAAGAUGGAUAUUAGGGUUAAUACCCCUAGUUUUUGACGGUACCUUCAAAGGAAGCACCGGCUAACUCUGUGCCAGCAGCCGCGGUAAUACAGAGGGUGCAAGCGUUGUUCGGAAUCAUUGGGCGUAAAGCGCGCGUAGGCGGUUUCAUAAGUCUGAUGUGAAAGCCCGGGGCUCAACCUCGGAAGUGCAUCGGAAACUGUGUGACUAGAGUCCUGGAGGGGGUGGUGGAAUUCCUGGUGUAGAGGUGAAAUUCGUAGAUAUCAGGAGGAACACCGGUGGCGAAGGCGACCACCUGGACAGUGACUGACGCUGAGGCGCGAAAGCGUGGGUAGCAAACAGG